This 253-nucleotide ribosomal RNA is filed under the name uncultured bacterium. RNAcentral describes it as "partial 16S ribosomal RNA". It matches the Rfam family "Bacterial small subunit ribosomal RNA", at positions 524 to 776 of the family's 1533-position model. The record is from RNAcentral.
UACGUAGGGUGCAAGCGUUGUCCGGAAUUAUUGGGCGUAAAGAGCGUGUAGGCGGCCCGAUUAGUCCGCUGUGAAAGUCCAGGGCUCAACCCUGGAAUGCCGGUGGAUACUGUCGGGCUAGAGUCCGGAAGGGGCGAGUGGAAUUCCUGGUGUAGCGGUGAAAUGCGCAGAUAUCAGGAGGAACACCAAUGGCGAAGGCAGCUCGCUGGGACGUGACUGACGCUGAAACGCGAAAGCGUGGGGAGCAAACAGG